RNAcentral lists this non-coding RNA (45 nucleotides) under Schistosoma mansoni. The record is from RNAcentral. Lineage: Eukaryota; Metazoa; Platyhelminthes; Trematoda; Strigeidida; Schistosomatidae.
AUCCAGCUGACGAGUCCCAAAUCGGACGAAACGCACGUCCUGGUU